RNAcentral lists this ribosomal RNA (884 nucleotides) under Bacillus subtilis. Its description in RNAcentral is "bacterial SSU rRNA". It matches the Rfam family "Bacterial small subunit ribosomal RNA", at positions 320 to 1196 of the family's 1533-position model. The record is from RNAcentral. Lineage: Bacteria; Bacillati; Bacillota; Bacilli; Caryophanales; Bacillaceae.
UGAGACACGGCCCAGACUCCUACGGGAGGCAGCAGUAGGGAAUCUUCCGCAAUGGACGAAAGUCUGACGGAGCAACGCCGCGUGAGUGAUGAAGGUUUUCGGAUCGUAAAGCUCUGUUGUUAGGGAAGAACAAGUACCGUUCGAAUAGGGCGGUACCUUGACGGUACCUAACCAGAAAGCCACGGCUAACUACGUGCCAGCAGCCGCGGUAAUACGUAGGUGGCAAGCGUUGUCCGGAAUUAUUGGGCGUAAAGGGCUCGCAGGCGGUUCCUUAAGUCUGAUGUGAAAGCCCCCGGCUCAACCGGGGAGGGUCAUUGGAAACUGGGGAACUUGAGUGCAGAAGAGGAGAGUGGAAUUCCACGUGUAGCGGUGAAAUGCGUAGAGAUGUGGAGGAACACCAGUGGCGAAGGCGACUCUCUGGUCUGUAACUGACGCUGAGGAGCGAAAGCGUGGGGAGCGAACAGGAUUAGAUACCCUGGUAGUCCACGCCGUAAACGAUGAGUGCUAAGUGUUAGGGGGUUUCCGCCCCUUAGUGCUGCAGCUAACGCAUUAAGCACUCCGCCUGGGGAGUACGGUCGCAAGACUGAAACUCAAAGGAAUUGACGGGGGCCCGCACAAGCGGUGGAGCAUGUGGUUUAAUUCGAAGCAACGCGAAGAACCUUACCAGGUCUUGACAUCCUCUGACAAUCCUAGAGAUAGGACGUCCCCUUCGGGGGCAGAGUGACAGGUGGUGCAUGGUUGUCGUCAGCUCGUGUCGUGAGAUGUUGGGUUAAGUCCCGCAACGAGCGCAACCCUUGAUCUUAGUUGCCAGCAUUCAGUUGGGCACUCUAAGGUGACUGCCGGUGACAAACCGGAGGAAGGUGGGGAUGACGUCAAAUCAUCAU